ACUUGCCACUCUUGAAGUUUUGGAAAAUCUCCUUACAUGGAGAAGAAUGAAAUGAAGCUCCCGAAUCAAGGAUCCAAGACUCAAUGGGACUAUCAACACUCAAGAUUAAUGCAUCACCGAUUUCAUCGCUUGAUACCAAGCUAACCGAUGAACUAGCAUCAUCGUGGCUCUUGUGGUUUGAACCACCCUUUUUCUUGGGAUUAGGAAAUUACCUCUUUGUAUGCCCUUUCACACCACACCCCAACACACAAUGUUCACCUUCCCCUUCGACUUACUCCUCCCUCUAGAAUUCGAUCUUCCUCUUUGAGCACCUCUUUGUUGUCUUCCACGUCCCCUACCUUCACUAGAAUAUGCACCACCCGAUGACUCACCCGAGUUCUUCCUUCUCAAGCUCUCAUUCAAGAUAAAGUCCCUCACAUCAUCACACUUCAACUUCGACUUUUCGGAAGAGUUGCUAAUGGCGGCUACAACGAUAUCCCAACUUCUAGCAAUAGUAGAAAAACAGAAAGCAGCACCGCCCUUUUCGCACCAGUUUUUGGUGCCAAAAAAAAUAGGCGGGAUUGAGGGAAAGAGUUUUCGCACCGGUUCUAACCAAACCGGUGCGAAAAAUGAGUUAAUCACACCGGUUCGGUUCGAACCGGUUCGAAUUCUAUUGUAAAAAAAAUAAAAAAAACCGGUCUUUUUAAUCUUCUUUCUUUCUCUUUCCUCGAUCUCUCCUCCUCUCUCAUCUGCCUCUCUCUCCUUCUCUCUCCUACGGUUCAACAAUGGAGGCUCAGCUCUUUCCUCAAACUCCUUCUCUCUCCUUCAAUCUCCUUCUCCAUAACCGCCGCUUUCCCUUUCCUUUUCUCUCUCCUUCGAUCUCCUUUUCCAUAACUGCGCCGCAAGCAACACCGCUCUCCUUCUCCUUCUCAGUCCGAAAUCGGUGUCAUUAGAACCAAGCACAACCACCAUCGCCGCCGCCGUCAAUUUGAACCAAAUACAACAAAAACAACAACAACAAACUUGAAUCAAUUAUCGAUUCAAAAUUCACAAAUUCAAGGUAUGUGCUCUUCGAUUUGAAAUCUAGGUUUUAUGAUUUUUUUUUUUUAUUAAUGAUGAACAAUUGAAAUUUUGAUUGAAUUCAAUGGUGAGAAUGUGAGAUGAUAGGAUUUCUAAUUUUUAUUUAAUUUUUUGUGAUUAUGGUGACGGUGGUCGGUGCUAGUGGUGGUGGGUUCUUGGGUGUGGCACGGUGGUGGUAUCGUGGGUGCGGUGGUGGUUUCGUGGUUGCGGUGGUGGUUUCGUGGGUCGUGAGCUGCUGCUACGAGUCUAUAGUUUCUAUAACGCACUGCUAGGAGUUAAUUCUCAACCUUUACUUAAGCUGUAAAUGGGGUGUAAGAUCAAGUGGUCAACAUGGUCGUAGCAAAUGGGAGCUGCAUGUUGAUGGUUCUGUGAAGGUGAACUUCGAUGCUGCCUUGUUGGCUGGAAUUGGUGUAGGCCUUGGAGUUGUAAUUCGUGAUGGGGUUGGCAGGAUGUUGGUUGCUAGUGUGAAAAGAGUUCCUGCAGGUGAUGUUCUUGUCAUUCUUGCUGAAGCAAUGGCAGCAAGAUAUGGUGUUUAGAUUGCAAAACAACUCCAGUUUGGCAGAGUGGAAUUAGAGGGGGAUUUAUCUUGUUUUAACAUCCAUACUAGUUUGUUUGCAGCUAUCGCAUCGAAGCUAGGGAAUGUAAAGGUAGAUAAUCUUAGUCCAAUUACUAUUGCAAUAGAGGUAGGUUCUCUGUUCUCUACUAUGACAAGAAAAAAAAAAAAGAGUAGAAAUAAGAAAUUCCUCUUACAAAGUUCAUGCCUUCCUUUUAAUCUGUUUGUUGGUGGUGGUUGAAUUCAUUUUUACCAUCCUUUUUCAUUCACCUUUGAGCUGACACAUCUAAUAUUUGCAGGUGCUUGGUCUGGUGAUGGCUGGUUUUGUCUUCUGUUUGUUUUGUUAGCUGCUAGUUCUUGGUGGGCUACUGGCCUGUUGUUUCUCAGCGUCGUCUGUUGUCUGUUGUAUGUUGCUCUACUGCCUGCCAACUGCUGUUGUUUAGUGGUCUGCUUUGCAAGGUGAUGCUCAUCAGGUUGCUGGGCUAUUGCUGCUUUGUUGUCUGUUGUUGCUCUGUUGAUUGCUGGGUUGUUGCCUGGUUCUUUAUUGUUCUUUUGCUUCUGUAUUAGCUGCAGCCUAUUUUUUUAUCUGUGUGUUCCAGUUGUUGUUCUCUGUCUAUUGCUUCCUGGCUUCUAGCGCUGCAUCAACUUGAUUAUGUGCUGUUGCUGGUCAUCGCUGCUGAUGCUUUGUUGGGUUCAGUGCUUCUGGUUUUGCUGGUGCUGUUGCUGUUAUGCUGGAUGUGUUGUUGUUGUUUGCUUGUUGUCCUGGUUACUCAGAGGUCGCUCUGGUGUGCUUUUUGGUGUCGCAAGCUUGCUGCUGAGUUGUCUAGAGGUGUAUUCUUCUAGCUGUUGUUCAUGUUGCACUGCUGCUGCCUAUUUGCUUUGUACAUUUUGUUUGGCAAAUUCUUGAUGUUGAAACUUUUGGCUUUGUUUUUCUUUCCAAAAAAAAAAAACCCAACAUAGUAUGCUUCUGUACGAUUGUAUACAUCUUUUUAGUGUUGUAUGUAUCCAGUUCAUUGCACAGCCAAUAAUCAAUGUAGCUAUGGCAUUUUUCCGAGUGCAGUACUUUUU
Molecule: long non-coding RNA, 2680 nt
Organism: Chenopodium quinoa (quinoa)
Lineage: Eukaryota; Viridiplantae; Streptophyta; Magnoliopsida; Caryophyllales; Amaranthaceae
Exons: 2
Source: RefSeq, a predicted model, not a curated record